UACGGCCGUAUCCCAUUGAAACACCGGUUCCCGUAUGAUCACCGAAGUUAAGCAACCUCGAGCCAUGUCAGUACCUAGAUGGGUGACCGCUUGGGAAUACCA
Molecule: ribosomal RNA, 102 nt
Filed under: Acanthosepion pharaonis
Lineage: Eukaryota; Metazoa; Mollusca; Cephalopoda; Sepiida; Sepiidae
Source: RNAcentral